This 497-nucleotide ribosomal RNA is filed under the name uncultured bacterium. RNAcentral's name for it is "partial 16S ribosomal RNA". It matches the Rfam family "Bacterial small subunit ribosomal RNA", at positions 28 to 507 of the family's 1533-position model. The record is from RNAcentral.
GAUGAACGCUGGCGGCGUGCCUAAUACAUGCAAGUCGAGCGAACGGACGAGAAGCUUGCUUCUCUGAUGUUAGCGGAGGACGGGUGAGUAACACGUGGAUAACCUACCUAUAAGACUGGGAUAACUUCGGGAAACCGGAGCUAAUACCGGAUAAUAUUUUGAACCGCAUGGUUCAAAAGUGAAAGACGGUCUUGCUGUCACUUAUAGAUGGAUCCGCGCUGCAUUAGCUAGUUGGUAAGGUAACGGCUUACCAAGGCAACGAUGCAUAGCCGACCUGAGAGGGUGAUCGGCCACACUGGAACUGAGACACGGUCCAGACUCCUACGAGAGGGAGCAGUAGGGAAUCUGCCGCAAUAGGCGAAAGCCUGGCGGAGCAACGCCGCGUGAGUGGUGGAAGUCUUCCGAUCGUAAAACUCUGUUAUUAGGGAAGAACAUAUUUGUAAGUAACUGUGCACAGCUUGACGGUACCGAAUCAGAAAGCCACGGCUAACUACGUG